GUAGGGAGCAAGCGUUAUCCGGAUUUAUUGGGUGUAAAGGGUGCGUAGACGGGACAACAAGUUAGUUGUGAAAUCCCUCGGCUUAACUGAGGAACUGCAACUAAAACUAUUGUUCUUGAGUGUUGGAGAGGAAAGUGGAAUUCCUAGUGUAGCGGUGAAAUGCGUAGAUAUUAGGAGGAACACCGGUGGCGAAGGCGACUUUCUGGACAAUAACUGACGUUGAGGCACGAAAGUGUGGGGAGCAAACAGGAUUAGAUACCCUGGUAGUCCACGCCGUAAACGAUGGAUACUAGGUGUAGGAAAUGAUUUCAUUUUCUGUGCCGUCGCAAACGCAAUAAGUAUCCCACCUGGGGAGU
Molecule: ribosomal RNA, 356 nt
Filed under: uncultured bacterium
Lineage: Bacteria
Description: bacterial SSU rRNA
Rfam family: Bacterial small subunit ribosomal RNA
Source: RNAcentral